AUUGAACGCUGGCGGCAGGCCUAACACAUGCAAGUCGAGCGGAUGAAGGGAGCUUGCUCCUGGAUUCAGCGGCGGACGGGUGAGUAAUGCCUAGGAAUCUGCCUGGUCGUGGGGGCUAAUGUCCGGAAACGGGCGCUAAUACCGCAUACGUCCUGAGGGAGAAAGUGGGGGAUCUUCGGACCUCACGCUAUCAGCUGAGCCUAGGUCGGAUUAGCUAGUUGGUGGGGUAAAGGCUUACCAAGGCGACGAUCCGUAACUGGUCUGAGAGGAUGAUCAGUCACACUGGAACUGAGACACGGUCCAGACUCCUACGGGAGGCAGCAGUGGGGAAUAUUGGACAAUGGGCGAAAGCCUGAUCCAGCCACGCCGCGUGUGUGAAGAAGGUCUUCGGAUUGUAAAGCACUUUAAGUUGGGAGGAAGGGAAGUAAGUGAAUACCUUGACGUUUUGACGUUACCAACAGAAUAAGCACCGGCUAACUUCGUG
This 484-nucleotide ribosomal RNA is filed under the name uncultured bacterium. RNAcentral describes it as "partial 16S ribosomal RNA". It matches the Rfam family "Bacterial small subunit ribosomal RNA", at positions 30 to 507 of the family's 1533-position model. The record is from RNAcentral.